RNAcentral lists this ribosomal RNA (793 nucleotides) under uncultured euryarchaeote. Its description in RNAcentral is "bacterial SSU rRNA". It matches the Rfam family "Archaeal small subunit ribosomal RNA", at positions 85 to 882 of the family's 1478-position model. Lineage: Archaea; Methanobacteriati; Methanobacteriota. The record is from RNAcentral.
ACUGCUCAGUAACACGUGGAUAACUUGUCCUGUGGACCGGGAUAACCCCUGGGAAACUGGGGCUAAUACCGGAUAGAGCAGCGAUCGCUGGAAUGCACGAUGCUCCAAAGCUCCGGCACCACAGGGUAGGUCUGCGGCCGAUUAGGUCGUUGUUGAUGUAACGGAUCAACAAGCCUCCGAUCGGUAUGGGUUGUGAGAGCAAUAGCCCAGAGAUGGGUUCUGAGAUAAGAACCCAGGUCCUACGGGACGCAUCAGGCGCGAAAACUUUACACUGUGCGCCAGCACGAUAAGGGAACUCUGAGUGCCUCCUCAGGAGGCUGUUCAGGUGUCUAAAACGCAUCUGAAGGAAGGGCUGGGUAAGACUGGUGCCAGCCGCCGCGGUAACACCAGCAGCCCAAGUGGUAGCCACUCUUACUGGGUCUAAAGCGCCCGUAGCCGGCCAGGUAAGUUCCUUGGGAAAUUUGAUCGCUUAACGAUUAAGCGUCCAGGGAAUACUGCCCGGCUUGGGACCGGGAGAGGUCAGAGGUACCCCAAGGGUAGGGGUGAAAUCCGUUAAUCCUUGGGGGACCGCCGGUAGCGAAGGCGUCUGACUAGACCGGAUCCGACGGUGAGGGGCGAAGGCUAGGGGAGCGAACCGGAUUAGAUACCCGGGUAGUCCUAGCUGUAAACGAUGCGGGCUAGGUGUUGGCAUUACUGCGAGUGAUGCCAGUGCCGAAGGGAAGCCGUUAAGCUCGCCAUCUGGGGAGUACGGUCGCAAGGCUGAAACUUAAAGGAAUUGGCGGGGGAGCACAAU